UACAGAGGUCUCAAGCGUUGUUCGGAUUCAUUGGGCGUAAAGGGUGCGUAGGUGGCAUGGUAAGUCGGAUGUGAAAUCCCGGGGCUCAACCCCGGAACUGCAUUCGAUACUGCUGCGCUAGAGUACUGGAGAGGAGAUUGGAAUUUACGGUGUAGCAGUGAAAUGCGUAGAUAUCGUAAGGAAGACUAGUGGCGAAGGCGGAUCUCUGGACAGUUACUGACACUGAGGCACGAAGGCCAGGGGAGCAAACGGG
Molecule: ribosomal RNA, 253 nt
Filed under: uncultured bacterium
Lineage: Bacteria
Description: partial 16S ribosomal RNA
Rfam family: Bacterial small subunit ribosomal RNA
Source: RNAcentral